CCGAUCCAAAACAAAAGGAAGAUGAAAAGUUUCCUAAUUUCCUAUUAUAUUUAGGGUCUAGGACAAGAGUACAAAGUACUCUUUUUUUGCUAUCCACUGAGAAAAUGUUGCCGGUGGAACUUAAAGCUACGAUUUCUCCUCCUUUGGGUUCUGUUCUAGCUGAUUCCGAUGAGGUUCUUGCAUAUCUUUCUAUCAACCUCACUUCUAUUAGGUGGUCUUGGGCUUCCCUCAUAUGGACAGGUUGUCUCUAGUUCACUCAGAUUCAGAGAAAUAGAGUCUUCUUUCUCUCCAUCUGGUGGUUGAAGAAGCUGGAACACAUCCCUACCCCUCCUUUUUGGUGAAGGUUUUUAUUAGCUAGGGUUUUAAUUCUAGCUGUAGAUAGCACAGAUCUGAUGUCUCAUUCCGGGCAUGCUGUUAAUGUCUUUAUGCUGUGCUUUUUAUUUUCCUUUGAUGUUGCAUGUGAAAACUUUUGAAAUAUUUUGUAUGAUUGUAAAUAUAUGUGAUUCUCAUAUUGGUCAUUUUGAA
Capsicum annuum is the source of this 525-nucleotide long non-coding RNA. RefSeq lists it as uncharacterized. The transcript has 2 exons. The record is from RefSeq and is a predicted model, not a curated record. NCBI's taxonomy places the organism in Eukaryota, Viridiplantae, Streptophyta, Magnoliopsida, Solanales, Solanaceae.